Long non-coding RNA from Strigops habroptila (Kakapo), 3267 nucleotides. The record is from Ensembl. NCBI's taxonomy places the organism in Eukaryota, Metazoa, Chordata, Aves, Psittaciformes, Psittacidae.
CCCGCGCACGGCCGGUGCUCGGUGUCGUGCUUGCUGCCGGUAACGGCGGGUAACGGCGCCCGCCCGCAGCUGUGGCUGGGCUGAGGGCGAGCGGGGGGGGCGGGGGCACGUAAAACCUGCUGAGGGGAGAAAAGCGUUUUAAAACCUCCGCCGCGGCCUUCACCCGCCCCCCGUGAGGGUCGCGGCGGAGCGGGAUGAGGGGUGGGAGAAGCGAGGCGUGCGCGAGGAAGGAAGGAAGGAAGGAAGGAAGCAAGCAAGCAAGCAAGCAAGCAAGCAAGCAAGCAAGCAAGCAAGGGGGAAGCAAUUUUCCUCCUUUCCUGAUAUGGUUCUGCGUAGCAUCCUGCACUGUAUACAGUUUCUGGGUGUUCCAGUCACUACUGACAAAACGUAACAUAUCAUCUGGUUUUUAUGUAGCCUGCUAAGUUUACCAGGAAAAGGAAGGAUCUGACAUCUGACAAGAAUCCCUUCCUGAGCUUUCAUCUGCAAUGGUAUUGUUAUCGGUCAGCUUUUUUGCUUUUUCUCAUGCGUGCACACAGCUGCUCUUCAGAAGAUGAUCAUUUCAGAUCUUAAAAUAACAUUUCACCUACAUUAUUCAGCACAGCUGUCUGAAAAUUCACAUGAGAAGAAGUACAUUUGUAGUAAUGUUGAAUGUUGGGAGAUUUAUGCUGUGGGUUAGCAUGCAUGUCAGAAGAAAGGUUUCAGAGAGACAAAAGGCCACAUGCCUUCAGAUUUUUGAGAAAUUGUAUUAUUUUUAACCAAUCCAACAAUUGUAUGUAAUGAUGUAUGUAAAAGGUUAACUCUACUUCAACUGUAGAGAUUAAAAGGAAAGACCACAGAUCUUGUGAUGGAGAAGCUGAUGAUGGUCUAAAAGGACAUAUUCUCCAACUACUCUGCAGAUCUUAAGACUAACACAAGGACACAGUAUGUUACAAAAGGGAACUAACGUGUUCCUCUCUUUCCUGCCUGCUUCUCCACUUGGAAGCGAGGGAUGUUUUUCAGCCAGAAAGACUUUGCCUGCAAGGAAUUGUAAGAAAUUGUAAGAUUAUGAAUCUUUUAUCAUGAGAAGCCCAUGGGAAAACUUUGCUUAAAAUUCUGAAAAUGGUAAUGGAUUAUCGUAAACAUUCAUUUAAAUUUGUUUUGUCCUGAUCAUGUCAUGAACCACAGAAUGUUGCAGCAGAAAUAUAUGCAUGGCGGAUGAUUGCCUGGAUAUAUAGCAGGCUCACUGAAUCUAAAGGAAGUUUGCUGUCAGAAUUUCGGCUGUAUCAAGAGUUUGGGAUGUGACCACCCCUUAGCCUGUGGAAAGCAUGAGUGUUGCUGCUGAAGCUCUCUGUGAUAAUGCCUUUGCUGUCUAGAUACAGACCAACUACACGUUUCUGUGAUCUCUACUGAGAUGCAUGUAGCUGUUUCUCAAUGCAUACAAUGCAUACUCUGCUUUGCACAAUUCUGUUAGCUUGGAGCUAAACCUAGCAUGAUUGCUACAGAGGCUUCUCUGGCCAGAAUUCCUGGCAAGAAUUUUAAGGAAGGGUUUGCUUGCAGUUAGCUGCCAGAAGGAUAUAAUCAUUGAUUACUUGCAGUAGAAAGCACAGUAAUCCAUUCUCAAAUGGUAAUGGGAAAAGAAGAUGGUAUUUGUGAAGAGAAAAUAAGUAUUAUAUCGUGAUUGUUCUUUAUUCUCAAAUAUUUACUAAAUAAAAACAAUGUAUAAAUGUUGACUUUUUUUUUUUUGCUGACUAUUUUUUCAGAUAGCAUUAAGUCUUUUAAGAAAAGUAAAGGAAAUACAGUUACAACAUUGUUUAAAACUAUUCUAGAUUUCAUUUUGUGCAUCACCAACGUGAAAGUCUAGUUCUAUCUCUCCUAAUAAGUAUUCUUUUGGUAAAGACUCAUGGUAUGAAAAUAGUUGCUUCCAGAUGCAUCAUUUUUUACAAGUACUUGGUAAACAUGAUAUCACAGAGAGUUAUAUAAUAAGAACAUACUGAGGCCUCUCUGUGGUGUGGUCUGGGCUGUAUUGGAAGCAUAUGCCCACAGGCUGGAGCUCUGAGUUCAGAUACCACUGAAUGCGGGCAGAUUAUGGUAAGAUAGCUAAAUAGUUUCCGUCCCUACCUGUCUGUUCUACUUCUUUCUUGAAAGUUUGUAUUUCCAUGAUAAGGGGAGGUAAAGAGCCUAAAAGUGCCUUUAAAAUUGCAUGGGCUGAAGGUGGAGAAGGUGGCUGAGGUGUCUAUAUUCCUUUGUGAAAUGUGUGUCACUAGACAAAAGGGAGGAAGCAACUAAAAACCAAACAAGCUCUGAAGUUCUGCACAGCCUUUGCUUCCCCUCUAGUACAGGCCAGAUAGAUCCUAUUUCAUUUAUUAUUAAAACUCCUGCUGAACUUCUGGAAAUUGAUAUCAGGGAAGAACACACUUUGCAUGGAAAAGUGCUGAGAAUACCAGUGAGGAGAAUGUGACUGCGAAUGACAGUGGGAGUGUUUUUAUUUCAUCUAAGUUUGAAAUAGGAGAACAGGAUAGACUGCUGAAAGCAACUCUAGCAAUGCAAUACCCAGUAUCGGGAGAACAAAAUCCUUUUGUUUCCUGACCUCGGCCUCAUCAAACAAACCAAGAGAAAAGUGUUAUUGAGCUGGAGGAAUCUGUUUACUGGAAAGAAUACUGAGUCUCUACGAUGGCAUCUUACAGUACAAAAGAUGUUGUAACAGAACAGACCUAUUCUGGAAAAGAGACGUAGCAACGAUGCCCAGAUGACAGCAAAGUCAAUGGAAAAUGAACCUGCAUGAACUAAAAAGUAAACCCUGUCAAUAAUUUUGAUUCCUUUAUUUAGCUGACAGCUGUACCUAAAAUUGAUCUCAGUUAUACUGAUGUAAGAUGUUCUAAGGACUGUUUAAUUGACAUGCAUUUACCUCUGUGUGAAAUGUCCCAGUUAAAUACGCUUGUGCCUUCAAAAAUGCAUGAUGUGGUUGAGUAAAUAAUGGUAAAAAAAAUCUAUCCAAAAUUAAUAUUAAUUUUCUAUACUGUAGACUUAAUGAAACUGUUUCUUAGUGCUUUCUUGUAAUGAGCUCUGGAAGCUCCUGAUCAUCUUGCUGUAAUAUCAGAGACUUUCUUUAGUAUUUGUGCUUUGCUUUCCCUGCCAAACAGGCUUCAAUAUUCUUAUACUCUAUAUCUCGAUAUGCAUUUUUUGGUAUAUGUAAUUAAUCAUCUAAGCUAUGUGCUUUGCCUCUUGACUGGAUGAUACACUUUCAAAAUAGGAAAAAUAUAGCAUAUCAUAAAUAAUGCAUUUUCACAU